This 490-nucleotide ribosomal RNA is filed under the name uncultured bacterium. RNAcentral's name for it is "partial 16S ribosomal RNA". It matches the Rfam family "Bacterial small subunit ribosomal RNA", at positions 29 to 507 of the family's 1533-position model. The record is from RNAcentral.
AUUGAACGCUGGCGGCAUGCCUUACACAUGCAAGUCGAACGGCAUCGCGGGAAAGCUUGCUUUCCUGGCGGCGAGUGGCGAACGGGUGAGUAACACAUCGGAACGUACCGGCUAGUGGGGGAUAACCCGUCGAAAGACGGGCUAAUACCGCAUACGCUCUUCGGAGGAAAGCAGGGGACCUUUGGGCCUUGCGCUAGCCGAGCGGCCGAUGUCCGAUUAGCUAGUUGGUGGGGUAAAGGCCUACCAAGGCGACGAUCGGUAGCGGGUCUGAGAGGACGAUCCGCCACACUGGAACUGAGACACGGCCCAGACUCCUACGGGAGGCAGCAGUGGGGAAUCUUGGACAAUGGGGGCAACCCUGAUCCAGCAAUGCCGCGUGGGUGAAGAAGGCCUUCGGGUUGUAAAGCCCUUUCGGCAGGGAAGAAAUCGGCGGGGCGAAUAACCCUGCUGGAUGACGGUACCUGCAGGAGAAGCACCGGCUAACUACGUG